This 304-nucleotide ribosomal RNA is filed under the name Vaughanella sp. SLR-1995. Its description in RNAcentral is "eukaryotic LSU rRNA". It matches the Rfam family "Eukaryotic large subunit ribosomal RNA", at positions 44 to 343 of the family's 3401-position model. The record is from RNAcentral. RNAcentral also lists the same sequence under 1 other name. Lineage: Eukaryota; Metazoa; Cnidaria; Anthozoa; Scleractinia; Caryophylliidae.
UAAUAAGCGGAGGAAAAGAAACUAACAAGGAUUCCCCCAGUAACGGCGAGUGAAGCGGGAAGAGCUCAAAUUUGAAAUCUCCGACGCUUGCGUCGGCGAGUUGUAGUUGCGAGAAGCACUUUCUAGGUGGAUCGGCCGCGCCUAAGUUGCUUGGAACAGCAGGUCGCAGAGGGUGACAACCCCGUUUGUGGCGCGACCGGCCGCUGACGAUGUGCUUUCGAAGAGUCGGGUUGUUUGGGAAUGCAGCCCAAAAUGGGUGGUAAACUCCAUCUAAAGCUAAAUAUCGGCGCGAGACCGAUAGCGA